RNAcentral lists this ribosomal RNA (510 nucleotides) under uncultured bacterium. RNAcentral's name for it is "partial 16S ribosomal RNA". It matches the Rfam family "Bacterial small subunit ribosomal RNA", at positions 28 to 507 of the family's 1533-position model. The record is from RNAcentral.
GACGAACGCUGGCGGCGUGCUUAACACAUGCAAGUCGAACGAAGAGCGAUGGAAGCUUGCUUCCAUCAAUCUUAGUGGCGAACGGGUGAGUAACGCGUAAUCAACCUGCCCUUCAGAGGGGGACAACAGUUGGAAACGACUGCUAAUACCGCAUACGAUCUAACCUUGGCAUCGAGGAUGGAUGAAAGGUGGCCUCUAUUUAUAAGCUAUCACUGAAGGAGGGGAUUGCGUCUGAUUAGCUAGUUGGAGGGGUAACGGCCCACCAAGGCGAUGAUCAGUAGCCGGUCUGAGAGGAUGAACGGCCACAUUGGGACUGAGACACGGCCCAGACUCCUACGGGAGGCAGCAGUGGGGAAUCUUCCGCAAUGGACGAAAGUCUGACGGAGCAACGCCGCGUGAGUGAUGACGGCCUUCGGGUUGUAAAGCUCUGUUAAUCGGGACGAAAGGCCUUCUUGCGAAUAGUUAGAAGGAUUGACGGUACCGGAAGAGAAAGCCACGGCUAACUACGUG